Molecule: long non-coding RNA, 308 nt
Filed under: Anas zonorhyncha (Eastern spot-billed duck)
Lineage: Eukaryota; Metazoa; Chordata; Aves; Anseriformes; Anatidae
Description: lncRNA (ENSAZOG00000005137.1)
Source: RNAcentral
CAAUAUCGGAUGAAGAAGCUAUUUACAUAUCCUCAAAUGGCAGUGACCACGUGCUACUGAGGAGCUGUUACACGUAAUUCACCUGGGGGAGGCUGUGGCCUGGGACCAGACUUGUCCAUGCUCACUGGUUAGGAGCGUUGUUGUUUCCUGGAGUUUGGUAGCAGCAAGGAAAAUAUGCAGAAAGCACCCUAGAAGCAAAAUUGCUUCAACUGCCAUUAAUCAGUUCCCUGUCCUUGCCUGAAUCUGGCUUGCUGUGUGUCAGAGCUGCUGCAGCUGCCGAGGGAGACGCCGAGGUGCAGCUUCUGAUC